RNAcentral lists this ribosomal RNA (461 nucleotides) under uncultured bacterium. RNAcentral describes it as "bacterial SSU rRNA". It matches the Rfam family "Bacterial small subunit ribosomal RNA", at positions 30 to 490 of the family's 1533-position model. The record is from RNAcentral.
AUUGAACGCUGGCGGAAUGCUUUACACAUGCAAGUCGAACGGUAGAGGGGGCAACCCCUUGAGAGUGGCGAACGGGUGAGUAAUAUAUCGGAACGUGCCCAGUCGUGGGGAUAACGUAGCGAAAGUUACGCUAAUACCGCAUACGAUCUAAGGAUGAAAGCGGGGGAUCGCAAGACCUCGCGCGAUUGGAGCGGCCGAUAUCAGAUUAGGUAGUUGGUGAGGUAAAGGCUCACCAAGCCAACGAUCUGUAGCUGGUCUGAGAGGACGACCAGCCACACUGGAACUGAGACACGGUCCAGACUCCUACGGGAGGCAGCAGUGGGGAAUUUUGGACAAUGGACGCAAGUCUGAUCCAGCCAUUCCGCGUGCAGGAUGAAGGCCCUCGGGUUGUAAACUGCUUUUGUACGGAACGAAAAGGUUUGUCUUAAUACGAUGAGCUCAUGACGGUACGUAAGAAUAAG